CAACCCCCAAGCACCGCUUGGUGUUGGGGCACUACGGGCAACCGUAGGCCCUGAAAACUAGUGGCGGACUCGCUGAAGGUCCGGGCGUAGUAGUAAUAUCUCGCCCGCGGUCCCCAGCGCGCUCCGGCCGUUAAACUCCCCAAUCUUACAGAA
This 153-nucleotide unclassified non-coding RNA is filed under the name Sagenomella oligospora. RNAcentral describes it as "partial internal transcribed spacer 2". The record is from RNAcentral. Lineage: Eukaryota; Fungi; Ascomycota; Eurotiomycetes; Eurotiales; Trichocomaceae.